AGAGUUUGAUCCUGGCUCAGGAUGAACGCUGGCGGCGUGCUUAACACAUGCAAGUCGAACGAUGAUCCCAGCUUGCUGGGGGAUUAGUGGCGAACGGGUGAGUAACACGUGAGUAACCUGCCCUUAACUCUGGGAUAAGCCUGGGAAACUGGGUCUAAUACCGGAUAUGACUCCUCAUCGCAUGGUGGGGGGUGGAAAGCUUUAUUGUGGUUUUGGAUGGACUCGCGGCCUAUCAGCUUGUUGGUGAGGUAAUGGCUCACCAAGGCGACGACGGGUAGCCGGCCUGAGAGGGUGACCGGCCACACUGGGACUGAGACACGGCCCAGACUCCUACGGGAGGCAGCAGUGGGGAAUAUUGCACAAUGGGCGAAAGCCUGAUGCAGCGACGCCGCGUGAGGGAUGACGGCCUUCGGGUUGUAAACCUCUUUCAGUAGGGAAGAAGCGAAAGUGACGGUACCUGCAGAAGAAGCGCCGGCUAACUACGUGCCAGCAGCCGCGGUAAUACGUAGGGGGCGAGCGUUGUCCGGAAUUAUUGGGCGUAAAGAGCUCGUAGGCGGUUUGUCGCGUCUGCUGUGAAAACCUAAGGCUCAACCUUGGGCUUGCAGUGGGUACGGGCAGACUAGAGUGCGGUAGGGGUGACUGGAAUUCCUGGUGUAGCGGUGGAAUGCGCAGAUAUCAGGAGGAACACCGAUGGCGAAGGCAGGUCUCUGGGCAUUAACUGACGCUGAGGAGCGAAAGCAUGGGGAGCGAACAGGAUUAGAUACCCCGGUAGUCC
Molecule: ribosomal RNA, 775 nt
Filed under: uncultured Arthrobacter sp.
Lineage: Bacteria; Bacillati; Actinomycetota; Actinomycetes; Micrococcales; Micrococcaceae
Description: bacterial SSU rRNA
Rfam family: Bacterial small subunit ribosomal RNA
Source: RNAcentral